ACCAGACCUAAGGAAGAUACCAAUCUGUUUUAACUCAAGCAAUGUGUUGUGUUUUUUGCAAUUUCUGUGACUAAAAUCCUUUCUGAGGAGCUCUAAAAGCUGAGUGGCCUUGGACGUUAGACUGCCGCUUAGUAACAGGGUGCUGAGAGAAGGAGGACAAACACCACUAGUAAAAGAACUAUGUGAAGAUUUAAGACAUGGUCCAUCUUUCAGUACUCCCACCAAUGGCAGCAGAGCAAUGAAAACAGCGACACCGACGCAGAGCAGCAGCGAGAGCUGAGGGCCAUGAUGAGGGGAAGGUUCAGGGGAAGGUUCAGGGGUAAAAUCAGGCUCUUCAUCAGCUUCUGGAGAGAUAAUGGGAUGUGCUGCAUAUGAGACAUGAUCCUAAUGUUGUGAAAUACAUGCUUGUUGAUAUCAAUAUAAUACUUAAAACAUAUUAUAUAC
Sander lucioperca (pikeperch) is the source of this 444-nucleotide long non-coding RNA. RefSeq lists it as uncharacterized. The transcript is spliced from 3 exons. The record is from RefSeq and is a predicted model, not a curated record. NCBI's taxonomy places the organism in Eukaryota, Metazoa, Chordata, Actinopteri, Perciformes, Percidae.